GACGAACGCUGGCGGCGUGCCUAAUACAUGCAAGUUGAGCGCUGAAGGUUGGUACUUGUACCAACUGGAUGAGCAGCGAACGGGUGAGUAACGCGUGGGGAAUCUGCCUUUGAGCGGGGGACAACAUUUGGAAACGAAUGCUAAUACCGCAUAAAAACUUUAAACACAAGUUUUAAGUUUGAAAGAUGCAGUUGCAUCACUCAAAGAUGAUCCCGCGUUGUAUUAGCUAGUUGGUGAGGUAAAGGCUCACCAAGGCGAUGAUACAUAGCCGACCUGAGAGGGUGGUCGGCCACAUUGGGACUGAGACACGGCCCAAACUCCUACGGGAGGCAGCAGUAGGGAAUCUUCGGCAAUGGACGAAAGUCUGACCGAGCAACGCCGCGUGAGUGAAGAAGGUUUUCGGAUCGUAAAACUCUGUUGGUAGAGAAGAACGUUGGUGAGAGUGGAAAGCUCAUCAAGUGACGGUAACUACCCAGAAAGGGACGGCUAACUACGUG
RNAcentral lists this ribosomal RNA (497 nucleotides) under uncultured bacterium. RNAcentral describes it as "partial 16S ribosomal RNA". It matches the Rfam family "Bacterial small subunit ribosomal RNA", at positions 28 to 507 of the family's 1533-position model. The record is from RNAcentral.